This is a long non-coding RNA of Vitis riparia (riverbank grape), 323 nucleotides long. RefSeq lists it as uncharacterized. Lineage: Eukaryota; Viridiplantae; Streptophyta; Magnoliopsida; Vitales; Vitaceae. The record is from RefSeq and is a predicted model, not a curated record. The transcript is spliced from 3 exons.
CUCUCUCCUGCCAACAAAACCCAUUUUCUCUUCCUCUCCAAAACCCACGGCCAUAAAACCCACAAAACCUACCCACAGCCCCCAUUGCUUGGAGGAAGCCAUUGUCGGAAAAAGCUUAUGGAAGCCAUGCCAAAGAAGCCCCAUGGAAGCUAUGGUCCAUAAAGCCAAAGCCACCUCCAAGAAACUCCCGUAAAAAUCGUUUCUCUCUAGGUUUUGGGUUUUGGUGCUUUUGGAAAAACCACACUUAAUUACUUCCCAAGGAAAUGUCACAUCGAAGAGGAAGAGUAUAAAUAGUGUCUUCAAAAGAUGAGUUGGACAAUCUA